UACAGAGGUCUCAAGCGUUGUUCGGAUUCAUUGGGCGUAAAGGGUGCGUAGGCGGCGCGGUAAGUCGGGUGUGAAAUCUCGGAGCUUAACUCCGAAACUGCAUUCGAUACUGCCGUGCUUGAGGACUGGAAAGGAGACUGGAAUUUACGGUGUAGCGGUGAAAUGCGUAGAUAUCGAGAGGAACACCUGCGGCGAAGGCGGGUUGCUGGGCCGACACUGACGCUGAUGCGCGAAAGCCAGGGGAGCGAACGGG
This 253-nucleotide ribosomal RNA is filed under the name uncultured bacterium. RNAcentral describes it as "partial 16S ribosomal RNA". It matches the Rfam family "Bacterial small subunit ribosomal RNA", at positions 524 to 776 of the family's 1533-position model. The record is from RNAcentral.